This 253-nucleotide ribosomal RNA is filed under the name uncultured bacterium. RNAcentral's name for it is "partial 16S ribosomal RNA". It matches the Rfam family "Bacterial small subunit ribosomal RNA", at positions 524 to 776 of the family's 1533-position model. The record is from RNAcentral.
UACAGAGGGUGCAAGCGUUGUUCGGAAUUAUUGGGCGUAAAGGGCGCGUAGGCGGCCCGGUAAGUCAAAGGUGAAAUCCCUCGGCUCAACUGAGGAACUGCCUUUGAAACUGUCGGGCUUGAGGCCGGGAGGGGGUAGCGGAAUUCCCAGUGUAGCGGUGAAAUGCGUAGAUAUUGGGAGGAACACCGGUGGCGAAGGCGGCUACCUGGACCGGUUCUGACGCUGAUGCGCGAAAGCGUGGGUAGCAAACAGG